GAGGUCCCGCCUGCCCUGUGACUAUGGGUUUAACGGCCGCGGUAUUUUGACCGUGCGAAGGUAGCGCAAUCACUUGUCUUUUAAAUGAAGACCUGUAUGAAUGGCAUCACGAGGGCUUAGCUGUCUCCUCUCCCAAGUCAAUGAAAUUGAUCUGUCCGUGCAGAAGCGGGCAUAAGUACAUAAGACGAGAAGACCCUAUGGAGCUUUAGACACCAGGCAGAUCACGUCAAGUAACCUUAAAUUAAUAAGUGGAAACGCAGUGACCCCUAGCCCAUAUGUCUUUGGUUGGGGCGACCGCGGGGGAAAAUAAAGCCCCCAUGUGGACUGGGGGCACUGCCCCCACAGCCGAGAGCUACAGCUCUAAGCACCAGAAUUUCUGACCAAAAAUGAUCCGGCGAACGCCGAUCAACGGACCGAGUUACCCUAGGGAUAACAGCGCAAUCCUCUCCCAGAGUCCCUAUCGACGAGGGGGUUUACGACCUCGAUGUUGGAUCAGGACAUCCUAAUGGUGCAGCCGCUAUUAAGGGUUCGUUUGUUCAACGAUUAAAGUCCUACGUGAUC
Molecule: ribosomal RNA, 561 nt
Filed under: Salvelinus environmental sample
Lineage: Eukaryota; Metazoa; Chordata; Actinopteri; Salmoniformes; Salmonidae
Description: partial 16S ribosomal RNA
Rfam family: Bacterial large subunit ribosomal RNA
Source: RNAcentral